AACGAACGCUGGCGGCAGGCUUAACACAUGCAAGUCGAGCGCCCUUUUCGGAGGGAGCGGCAGACGGGUGAGUAACACGUGGGAAUCUACCCAUCACUACGGAACAACUCCGGGAAACUGGAGCUAAUACCGUAUAUGUCCUUCGGGAGACAGAUUUAUCGGUGAUGGAUGAGCCCGCGUUGGAUUAGCUAGUUGGUGGGGUAAAGGCCUACCAAGGCGACGAUCCAUAGCUGGUCUGAGAGGAUGAUCAGCCACACUGGGACUGAGACACGGCCCAGACUCCUACGGGAGGCAGCAGUGGGGAAUAUUGGACAAUGGGCGCAAGCCUGAUCCAGCCAUGCCGCGUGAGUGAUGAAGGCCCUAGGGUUGUAAAGCUCUUUCACCGGUGAAGAUAAUGACGGUAACCGGAGAAGAAGCCCCGGCUAACUUCGUGCCAGCAGCCGCAGUAA
RNAcentral lists this ribosomal RNA (449 nucleotides) under uncultured bacterium. Its description in RNAcentral is "partial 16S ribosomal RNA". It matches the Rfam family "Bacterial small subunit ribosomal RNA", at positions 29 to 523 of the family's 1533-position model. The record is from RNAcentral.